Molecule: ribosomal RNA, 884 nt
Filed under: uncultured marine bacterium
Lineage: Bacteria
Description: bacterial SSU rRNA
Rfam family: Bacterial small subunit ribosomal RNA
Source: RNAcentral
AGUUGAGCGAAGCUUUUUGGUAGUUUACUACUAGAAAUGACUGAGCGGCGAACGGGUGAGUAACGCGUGAGCAAUCUACCUUAGUUACUGGGAUAGCCCGAGGAAACUCGGAUUAAUACCGGAUAUUCUUAUUUUUUCACAUGAAGUUUUAAGGAAAGGUCAGCCGAACUAAGAUGAGCUCGCGUUCUAUCAGCUAGUUGGUGGGGUAAAAGCCUACCAAGGCUACGACGGAUAGCUGGUCUGAGAGGACGAUCAGCCACACUGGGACUGAGACACGGCCCAGACUCCUACGGGAGGCUGCAGCAGGGAAUAUUGUGCAAUGAGCGAAAGCUUGACACAGCGACACCGCGUGUGGGAUGACGGUUCUAGGAUUGUAAACCACUUUCAGGAGGGAAGAAAAUGACGGUACCUCCACAAGAAGACCCGGCCAACUAUGUGCCAGCAGCCGCGGUAAUACAUAGGGGUCAAGCGCUGUCCGGAUUUAUUGGGCGUAAAGAGCUCGUAGGCGGUUCAACAAGUCGGUCGUAAAAGUUUAGGGCUCAACCCUAAAAUGUCGAUCGAUACUGUUGUGACUAGGAUACGGUAGAGGUGAAUGGAAUUCCGAGUGUAGCGGUGAAAUGCGUAGAUAUUCGGAGGAACACCAAUUGCGAAGGCAGUUCACUGGACCGUGAUCGACGCUGAGGAGCGAAAGCUAGGGGAGCAAACAGGAUUAGAUACCCUGGUAGUCCUAGCUGUAAACGAUGGAUACUAGAUGUAGGAACUGGAUUGACGGUUUCUGUAUCGUAGCUAACGCGUUAAGUAUCCCGCCUGGGGAGUACGGUCGCAAGACUAAAACUCAAGGAAUUGACGGGACCCCGCACAAGCGGCGGAGCAUGCGGCUUAAU